Molecule: microRNA precursor, 105 nt
Filed under: Marmota monax (woodchuck)
Lineage: Eukaryota; Metazoa; Chordata; Mammalia; Rodentia; Sciuridae
Source: RNAcentral
AGAGGAAUAGCUGGGUCAAAUGGCUGGGUCAAAUUCCCGGUUUUCCAAGGAAUCUCCAUACUAUUUUCCAUAUUGGCUGCACCAAUUUGCAGUCCCACCAGCAAU